UUCUUCAGAAGAAAGUCGCAUAAAUCUGUUGCUAAACUAUCGAAAAAGCUGUCAGCUGUAGGCAUUGUAGAGGAACUGUUUGAAGAAGGCUCAGCAAUUCUUGCUGAAAGAUUGGGGAGUGAGGAUUCAAAUGGUCCAUCAAUGUCCGGCCUCUUCAUCUGUGCUGUUUGCCAGGUCGACCUUGCUGCAAGUGAAGGCAUAUCAGUACAUGCUGGUUCAAUUUUCUCGACAAGCUCAAAGCCUUGGCAAGGUCCAUUUCUAUGUGCUGACUGUUGUAAUAAGAAGGAUGCCAUGGAAGGAAAACGACCAAGUGGUGUUAAAGUCACUUAACUCGUGCAUCGUUGCCAAGUGUGUCUACAAUUUUGUUAUAGUAAUUCUUUCUGAUAUCUGCCUCAUAUCUUAGUUAAUUAAAAAGUGAUUUAUUGAACAUUGGCAUCAGAGCAUACUAUAUGUCAGCCAAUAAUGUAAAUAGGUUCUAUCAAAUGAAGAAGUGUGAUAGUAGUUAUGAGAUUAA
Solanum stenotomum is the source of this 514-nucleotide long non-coding RNA. RefSeq lists it as uncharacterized. The record is from RefSeq and is a predicted model, not a curated record. Lineage: Eukaryota; Viridiplantae; Streptophyta; Magnoliopsida; Solanales; Solanaceae. The transcript is spliced from 2 exons.